Molecule: long non-coding RNA, 324 nt
Filed under: Oryza sativa Indica Group (long-grained rice)
Lineage: Eukaryota; Viridiplantae; Streptophyta; Magnoliopsida; Poales; Poaceae
Description: lncRNA OsMH63_04G024870
Source: RNAcentral
CACCUCCACCGCGGAUCCGUCGCCACCGCCGCUCGCCGCUCUCUCUCUCUCUCUUGUAGGUCCGCCUCGGCGCCGUCUAGGCCCGGCCGCGCCGCGCUCUGGGAGGACGCCGAGGAAGCCAUCCCGGUCCCGGUGGUCGUGAAGAAGCUCCCCUCUCCCUCUUCGUCGAGCCCGUCGCCCCUCAACGCAUCUCUCGACUGUGUCGCUCGGCCGAAAAGUGGCGAGAGACGCGUCCCUCAACCGAGGGACGCGCUCCAUCAUAGGGAGUCGGUACAGAUGGAAAAGCGGACGUUCGUCGGUGAGCGAACGACAGAGACGCAUUGA